GAUGAACGCUGGCGGCGUGCUUAAUACAUGCAAGUCGAGCGAACAGACGCGGAGCUUGCUCCUCUGACGAUAGCCGAGGGCGUGAGAGAAACAUGUGGAUAACGUACCUAUCAGACUGGGAAAACCAGGGAAAACCGGAGCAAAUACCGGAUAAUCUCUUGAACCGCAUGGUUCAAUAGUGAGAGACGGCUGUGGUGUCACUAAUAGCGGGAUACGCGCCGCAUUAGCUAGUUGGUAAGGUAAAGGCUUAUCAAGGCAACGAUGCGUAGGCGACCGGAGGGGGUGAUCGGCCACACUGGAACUGGAACACGGACCAGACUCCUACGGGAGGCAGCAGUAGGGAAUCUGCCGCAGUGGGCGAAAGCUUGACGGAGCAGCGCCGCGUGAGUGAUGAAGGUCUUCGGAUCGGAAUACUCUGUUACUGGGGAAGAACAAAUUUGUAAGUAACUAUGCACGUCUUGACGGUACUUAAUCAGAAAGCCACGGCUAACUACGUG
This 497-nucleotide ribosomal RNA is filed under the name uncultured bacterium. RNAcentral's name for it is "partial 16S ribosomal RNA". It matches the Rfam family "Bacterial small subunit ribosomal RNA", at positions 28 to 507 of the family's 1533-position model. The record is from RNAcentral.